UACGUAGGGUGCGAGCGUUGUCCGGAAUUAUUGGGCGUAAAGGGCGUGUAGGCGGGACGGUAAGUCGGGCGUGAAAUCCCUAGGCUCAACCUAGGAACUGCACUCGAAACUACCAUUCUUGAGUGUCGGAGAGGAAAGCGGAAUUCCUGGUGUAGAGGUGAAAUUCGUAGAUAUCAGGAGGAACACCAGUGGCGAAGGCGGCUUUCUGGACGAUAACUGACGCUGAGACGCGAAAGCGUGGGGAGCAAACAGG
Molecule: ribosomal RNA, 253 nt
Filed under: uncultured bacterium
Lineage: Bacteria
Description: partial 16S ribosomal RNA
Rfam family: Bacterial small subunit ribosomal RNA
Source: RNAcentral